This 500-nucleotide ribosomal RNA is filed under the name uncultured bacterium. RNAcentral describes it as "bacterial SSU rRNA". It matches the Rfam family "Bacterial small subunit ribosomal RNA", at positions 28 to 506 of the family's 1533-position model. The record is from RNAcentral.
GACGAACGCUGGCGGCGUGCCUAACACAUGCAAGUCGAACGAGGCCACUCCUUCGGGAGUGAGUCGAGUGGGGGACGGGUGAGUAACACGUGAGCAACCUGUCUUCGUGCGGGGGACAACCCGGGGAAACCCGGGCUAAUACCGCAUGGUCAGGAUCCUCGAGUGAGGGACCUGGGAAAGAUGGCCUCUUUACAAUGCUGUCGUGCGGAGAGGGGCUCGCGGGCUAUCAGCUUGUUGGUAGGGUAACGGCCUACCAAGGCGACGACGGUUAGGGGGUCUGAGAGGACGACCCCCCACAUUGGAACUGAGACACGGUCCAGACUCCUACGGGAGGCAGCAGUGGGGAAUUUUGGGCAAUGGCCGAAAGGCUGACCCAGCGACGCCGCGUGCGGGAGGACGCCCUUCGGGGUGUAAACCGCUGUCAGAGGGGACGAAUGACCGGGACGGGAAUACCGUUCUGGAGUGACGGUACCCUCAGAGGAAGCACCGGCUAACUCUGU